UCCCAGUGAUGAAUCAUUUAGUAAUCUGAAAUGUUAGAUGAUUGGUGCUCCCUUUUUCCUAAAAGGUUGAGGAACCAUCGCAUUUCACCAUUGUGGAUACUAGGCAUUCUGAGGGAU
Molecule: non-coding RNA, 117 nt
Organism: Solanum tuberosum (potato)
Lineage: Eukaryota; Viridiplantae; Streptophyta; Magnoliopsida; Solanales; Solanaceae
Source: Rfam